GGAUGGCUGAAGUAAGGUGGAGGAAUGGUUUAGCAAUGUAGGACAAGAGAGGAUAGCAUAGUGUAGGGUGUAGGGAAGGAUAGGUUAGUAUGUAAGGUAGGAUAGUAGGAUAUAUAAUAAGUUAGGAUAGUUUACCAUAGGCCAGGAUAUAAGGUAGGAUCGUAGGAUAUAUAAUAAGUUAGGAUAGUUUACCAUAGGCCAGGAUAUAAGGUAGGAUAGUAGGAUACUUUUGUCCCUGAGCUGUACCAGCAGGACUCUAUCCCAUGAUGGAUUGGUUCAUUGUUGUGUUCCGUGCCAGCUGCAGUGAAGGCUAAGAUGGCCACCGACGUGGUUAUUUUGAUUUCUAGGCCAUGAGGGUCACUUUCUCUUGGGAACCAGCAAGGCUUCCUCCUCCUCCACUACCAGGCCAAUGUGUAGCAGAGGAGCAGCUCUGUCCAGACCAGAGUAGAGCGACAGAGACUAUUUUUUUCUCUGCCAGCGAGCCGCCCCUGGGACCUGGGGUGUCUGGGGUCUGGAUGAGGGACAGAGAGGGAGAGAGAGAAAGAGGUACAUGAGGGAACGUCCUAAAAGCAUUUCCUCCACUAGAUGGCAGUACACUUUUACAUGCUGGAUGCUCCCCUCCCUCCCAUGGCCAAGGUCAGUGGGUCGGCGGACACGCUCUGAGCGUCCCCUCUCUCUCUCUAUCUCUCUCUCUCUAUCUCUCUCUCUCUCUCUCUCUCUCUCUCUCUCUCUCUCUCUCUCUCUCUCUCUCUCUCUCUCUCUCUCUCUCUCUCUCUCUCUCUCUCUCUCUCUCUCUCUCUCACACACACACACAUAUAUAGAUACACAUACACAAACAGUGUACACACAUAUACACAAAACUCAUUCUCAAGAAAUCCUUCCUUGACCGAAACCAAAAACCUAAGCCCUGAGCGUGAGUGAGUGAGUGAGUCUGUUAUUUACAGCGUUGGCGGUUGAUGUACGAGAAGUCUGGUGUCUUUCGAAAACAAGUCAUCAUUUUGAUUUGGGACGCCACAGGGGGAGAGCAACAGCCUGUCUCUCUCCCGCUGAAAUGUUUACCCCUACAGAGGUCAUGCAGUCAGCAUUUAAAAUAAGAUACACACACACACACACAGAGAUACACAUAGCAUAUGCACACACACACACACACACACACACACACACACACACACACACACACACACACACACACACACACACACACACACACACAC
Molecule: long non-coding RNA, 1214 nt
Filed under: Salmo salar (Atlantic salmon)
Lineage: Eukaryota; Metazoa; Chordata; Actinopteri; Salmoniformes; Salmonidae
Description: lncRNA (ENSSSAG00000087250.1)
Source: RNAcentral